This 312-nucleotide long non-coding RNA is filed under the name Erythranthe guttata (spotted monkey flower). Its description in RNAcentral is "long non-coding RNA (EGUT_LNC003619)". The record is from RNAcentral. Lineage: Eukaryota; Viridiplantae; Streptophyta; Magnoliopsida; Lamiales; Phrymaceae.
AGACAAUUAGGUUUCCAACAUAAUCGAUUCGGGCAAGAAGGUACGAUGUAUUCUGAGCUACUCUCAAUUCGUCAAAUUUCCUACUGAAAUUAUUGUGCUAUCCAAUUUACUUUGAUUGAUUGAUACAUCUUCUGGAAAAUUCAGGAAAUGAUUCGUCAAAUUUGAAAUUUUCAUCUCUGUUCGCUUUCAUUCAUGCUGGUGCAGGUGCACCCACGUUGACUGUGUAGCAAUUGAUAACUGAAGUUUCAUUAUUUUUCAUCUGUCGUGUUGGUAUGAGCUGUAUUUUUAUAAGUGGUGCUUUGUUACAGUAAA